This 73-nucleotide transfer RNA is filed under the name Canis lupus familiaris (dog). It matches the Rfam family "tRNA". Rfam says of the family: Transfer RNA (tRNA) molecules are approximately 80 nucleotides in length. Their secondary structure includes four short double-helical elements and three loops (D, anti-codon, and T loops). Lineage: Eukaryota; Metazoa; Chordata; Mammalia; Carnivora; Canidae. The record is from Rfam by way of RNAcentral. RNAcentral also lists the same sequence under 1 other name.
GCCUGGCUGGCUCAGUCGGUAGAGCAUGUGACUCUUAAUCUCAGGGUUGUGAGUUCAAGCCCCAUGUUGGGCG